This is an RNA transcript of Mandrillus leucophaeus (drill), 1021 nucleotides long. RefSeq lists it as uncharacterized. The record is from RefSeq and is a predicted model, not a curated record. NCBI's taxonomy places the organism in Eukaryota, Metazoa, Chordata, Mammalia, Primates, Cercopithecidae. The transcript has a single exon.
AUGGUAAAUCACGAGUUGGUGACCAAUUGGAUUUUGGAUCUGAGGAAAAAACUCCAGCGUCAGAGGGAACUCUGGAAGUUUUGCCCGGAGCAAACGGAAGGGUGGCGUUGCCAUCGCCUAAAAUGGGAAAAUGGCAGGUGUCACAGGUUGCAGGGGAAGGUGCGAGACCAGGUGAGGGCCCCUGAGCCUUCCCGGAAAGAGUUUCCCAUGCAGCCCAUCUCGGUUUCCGCAUCCGUCUGAUUCCUUAUGAUGUUGAGGGUGCCGGGGUCUGGGUCCUUUAUGAUGCAGAGGGUAUCCCCGUCUCACCCCGGGCCCCUCUCGGCUCCCGCCUCCUCCUGGCAACCUGGUGCGCGACUCCAGACCUGGCGACCCGCGACCGUCUCGUCAUUCGCUGCCGCCUCGCAAAGGCACAUCUCUAGGCCAGUGGUGAGCUGCGGCCGGGUCGCUGCAACUCGCUCCAGGACUCGCGACCCGUGGCCUUGGUGUCCCUCGCGGAGCCCUCGGUGUGUCGCCUGCAGGCUCUUUGUUUUGAAGAAAGUAGGGAGGGAAAGGCCUUGUGAGACGACUCCAGGAGCAAAGAGCGACCCUUACAAGGCCCACGUCCUCCCAGAGCACAGGGGAACUGUCGCCUCAGACGGAAGAAGAAAGAGAAAGCAGCCUCUGGUGUCUCCCUGAUGGUCUAGUGGCUAGGAUUCGGCGCUUUCACCGCCGCGGCCCGGGUUCGAUUCCCGGUCAGGGAAUCAUUUUGCAUUGGGCGCACUCCCACAGGAAUCUUUCUUUACUACGCUGUCAGCCAUCCUGCUCCAAGGGCCAGAUGCAGAACAGUCUCCGCAGCGAGGGGCAAACCCCAGCGAAGGAGGGCGAGUCCUGGUGGACCAGCUCUCACGUUUAUCUCCGUGUCUGUCAUCCGCUGAAGAGGUUUUAGAGAGCGCCUGAGCCUCUCGCUCAGGUGUACACAGCCGUGCAGAGGUGCCAGCCCCCGUGCAGUUGUACCCAAUAAGGCCAUCCUCUUUGCCGUCGC